Molecule: unclassified non-coding RNA, 261 nt
Filed under: Hevea brasiliensis (rubber tree)
Lineage: Eukaryota; Viridiplantae; Streptophyta; Magnoliopsida; Malpighiales; Euphorbiaceae
Source: RNAcentral
CUUCUUUGUAACCCAUUCUUUCUCUUGUUCGUAAUUGUUGGUUUAUUGUUUCUGCUUCGGGUUCUUUUAAUCAGGACCGGAUUAAUUUAUAGGACCAAGAAAUGGUGGAGAUCAAUUGAAGAUUGUUUUCAUGUGCAUCAAUUCUUUAAGGUCCCAGAAUUCAACGAAAGCAUGCAGGAGAAUCAAUUUUAUUGCAGAGNCCGUUUAUCUAAACUCUCUGGCUUCCAUCGAGGACUCAGAUUUUACCAACCUCUUCACCAG